UACGUAGGGGGCAAGCGUUGUCCGGAAUCAUUGGGCGUAAGGAGCGUGUAGGCGGCUCGGUAAGUCCGCUCUGAAAGCCCGGGGCUCAACCCCGGGAGGCGGGCGGAUACUGUCGGGCUAGAGUCCGGAAGAGGCGAGUGGAAUUCCUGGUGUAGCGGUGAAAUGCGCAGAUAUCAGGAGGAACACCAAUGGCGAAGGCAGCUCGCUGGGACGGUACUGACGCUGAGACGCGAAAGCGUGGGGAGCAAACAGG
RNAcentral lists this ribosomal RNA (253 nucleotides) under uncultured bacterium. Its description in RNAcentral is "partial 16S ribosomal RNA". It matches the Rfam family "Bacterial small subunit ribosomal RNA", at positions 524 to 776 of the family's 1533-position model. The record is from RNAcentral.